UUUGAUCCUGGCUCAGGAUGAACGCUAGCUACAGGCUUAACACAUGCAAGUCGAGGGGCAUCAGGAAGAAAGCUUGCUUUCUUUGCUGGCGACCGGCGCACGGGUGAGUAACACGUAUCCAACCUGCCCUUUACUCGGGGAUAGCCUUUCGAAAGAAAGAUUAAUACCCGAUGGCAUAAUGAUUCCGCAUGGUUUCAUUAUUAAAGGAUUCCGGUAAAGGAUGGGGAUGCGUUCCAUUAGGUUGUUGGUGAGGUAACGGCUCACCAAGCCUUCGAUGGAUAGGGGUUCUGAGAGGAAGGUCCCCCACAUUGGAACUGAGACACGGUCCAAACUCCUACGGGAGGCAGCAGUGAGGAAUAUUGGUCAAUGGGCGCUAGCCUGAACCAGCCAAGUAGCGUGAAGGAUGAAGGCUCUAUGGGUCGUAAACUUCUUUUAUAUAAGAAUAAAGUGCAGUAUGUAUACUGUUUUGUAUGUAUUAUAUGAAUAAGGAUCGGCUAACUCCGUGCCAGCAGCCGCGGUAAUACGGAGGAUCCGAGCGUUAUCCGGAUUUAUUGGGUUUAAAGGGAGCGUAGGUGGACUGGUAAGUCAGUUGUGAAAGUUUGCGGCUCAACCGUAAAGUUGCAGUUGAUACUGUCAGUCUUGAGUACAGUAGAGGUGGGCGGAAUUCGUGGUGUAGCGGUGAAAUGCUUAGAUAUCACGAAGAACUCCGAUUGCGAAGGCAGCUCACUGGACUGCAACUGACACUGAUGCUCGAAAAGUGUGGGUAUCAAACAGGAUUAGAUACCCUGGUAGUCCACACAGUAAACGAUGAAUACUCGCUGUUUGCGAUAUACAGUAAGCGGCCAAGCGAAAGCAUUAAGUAUUCCACCUGGGGAGUACGCCGGCAACGGUGAAACUCAAAGGAAUUGACGGGGGCCCGCACAAGCGGAGGAACAUGUGGUUUAAUUCGAUGAUACGCGAGGAACCUUACCCGGGCUUAAAUUGCAGUGGAAUGAUGUGGAAACAUGUCAGUGAGCAAUCACCGCUGUGAAGGUGCUGCAUGGUUGUCGUCAGCUCGUGCCGUGAGGUGUCGGCUUAAGUGCCAUAACGAGCGCAACCCUUAUCUUCAGUUACUAACAGGUCAUGCUGAGGACUCUGGAGAGACUGCCGUCGUAAGAUGUGAGGAAGGUGGGGAUGACGUCAAAUCAGCACGGCCCUUACGUCCGGGGCUACACACGUGUUACAAUGGGGGGUACAGAAGGCAGCUAGCGGGUGACCGUAUGCUAAUCCCAAAAGCCUCUCUCAGUUCGGAUCGAAGUCUGCAACCCGACUUCGUGAAGCUGGAUUCGCUAGUAAUCGCGCAUCAGCCACGGCGCGGUGAAUACGUUCCCGGGCCUUGUACACACCGCCCGUCAAGCCAUGGGAGCCGGGGGUACCUGAAGUACGUAACCGCAAGGAUCGUCCUAGGGUAAAACUGGUGACUGGGGCUAAGUCGUAACAAGGUAACC
Molecule: ribosomal RNA, 1487 nt
Filed under: uncultured Bacteroides sp.
Lineage: Bacteria; Pseudomonadati; Bacteroidota; Bacteroidia; Bacteroidales; Bacteroidaceae
Description: bacterial SSU rRNA
Rfam family: Bacterial small subunit ribosomal RNA
Source: RNAcentral